Molecule: ribosomal RNA, 254 nt
Filed under: uncultured bacterium
Lineage: Bacteria
Description: partial 16S ribosomal RNA
Rfam family: Bacterial small subunit ribosomal RNA
Source: RNAcentral
UACGUAGGGUGCAAGCGUUGUCCGGAAUUAUUGGGCGUAAAGAGCUCGUAGGUGGUUCGGUAAGUCGGAUGUGAAAUCUCCAGGCUCAACCUGGAGGGGUCAUUCGAUACUGCCGUGACUAGAGGUCGGUAGGGGAGUGUGGAAUUCCUGGUGGAGCGGUGAAAUGCGCAGAUAUCAGGAGGAACACCGGUGGUGUAGACGGCUCACUGGACCGUAACUGACGCUGAGACACGAAAGCGUGGGUAGCAAACAGG